RNAcentral lists this ribosomal RNA (272 nucleotides) under uncultured bacterium. RNAcentral's name for it is "partial 16S ribosomal RNA". It matches the Rfam family "Bacterial small subunit ribosomal RNA", at positions 43 to 318 of the family's 1533-position model. The record is from RNAcentral.
UCAGGCUUAACACAUGCAAGUCGACCGGUAACGCGGGGCAACUUGGUUAAGAGUGGCGACCGGGUGAGUAAUGCAUCUGAUCGUGCCCAGUAGUGGGGGAUAGCCCGGCGAAAGCCGGAUUAAUUCCGCAUCCGACGUAUGGGUGAAAGGGGGGGAUUGCAAGACCUCUCGCUAUCGGAGCGGCGGAUGUCAGAUUAGGUAGUUGGUGGGGUAAAGGCAUACCAAUCCGACGAUCUGUAGCUGGUAUGAGAGGAAGCCCAACCACAUUGGGA